UACGUAGGGCGCAAGCGUUGUCCGGCAUUCUUGGGCGUAAAGGGCUCGUAGGCGGUCUGUCACGUCGGGAGUGAAAACUCAGGGCUUAACCCUGAGCCUGCUUCCGAUACGGGCAGACUAGAGGUAUGCAGGGGAGAACGGAAUUCCUGGUGUAGCGGUGAAAUGCGCAGAUAUCAGGAGGAACACCGGUGGCGAAGGCGGUUCUCUGGGCAUUACCUGACGCUGAGGAGCGAAAGUGUGGGGAGCGAACAGG
Molecule: ribosomal RNA, 253 nt
Filed under: uncultured bacterium
Lineage: Bacteria
Description: partial 16S ribosomal RNA
Rfam family: Bacterial small subunit ribosomal RNA
Source: RNAcentral